This 468-nucleotide ribosomal RNA is filed under the name uncultured bacterium. RNAcentral's name for it is "partial 16S ribosomal RNA". It matches the Rfam family "Bacterial small subunit ribosomal RNA", at positions 28 to 507 of the family's 1533-position model. The record is from RNAcentral.
GACGAACGCUGGCGGCGUGCUUAACACAUGCAAGUCGAACGGAAAGGCCCUGCUUUUGUGGGGUGCUCGAUUGGCGAACGGGUGAGUAACACGUGAGUAACCUGCCCUUGACUUUGGGAUAACUUCAGGAAACUGGGGCUAAUACCGGAUAGGAUCUCCUGCUGCAUGGUGGGGGUUGGAAAGAUUCGGCGGUGUGGGAUGGACUCGCGGCUUAUCAGCUUGUUGGUGGGGUAGUGGCUUACCAAGGCUUUGACGGGUAGCCGGCCUGAGAGGGUGACCGGCCACCUUGGGACUGCGAUACGGCCCAGACUCCUACGGGAGGCAGCAGUGGGGAAUAUUGCACAAUGGGCGGAAGCCUGAUGCAGCAACGCCGCGUGCGGGAUGCCGGCCUUCGGGUUGUAAACCGCUUUCGCCUGUGACGAAGCGUGAGUGACGGUAAUGGGUAAAGAAGCACCGGCUAACUACGUG